GCAUGAUCCAGCUGGAGGUGUAGCUGACCGAGGAGCCACCCAUGGGCAGAUGGACUAUCCACGCGAAGACAAAUGACGGUCCCGAAAGUAAGGGUUUCGUUGUAGAGGAGUAUGUGCUGCCUACAUUCGAGGUCAAGGUCAAGAACCCAACCUACGUGCCUGAGGGAGACAAAACCAUCACCGUCGACGUCUGCGCCAAGUACACCUUCGGUCAGCCGUUGAUUGGAGCCACCGUAACGAUGCCUGUCGCGGACGGUUCCAACCCAAACGAACGCGUCAAAGUCGGUGACACUCUCUCGACGGACGAGACAGGCUGCGCAUCGUCUGAUCUGAUUGUG
Molecule: long non-coding RNA, 338 nt
Organism: Pollicipes pollicipes
Lineage: Eukaryota; Metazoa; Arthropoda; Thecostraca; Pollicipedomorpha; Pollicipedidae
Exons: 4
Source: RefSeq, a predicted model, not a curated record